GCCGGUCUUUACUUCCGAUAACUUCGUUCUCGUCCGAUCACCGAAGUUAAGCUCAGUAGGGCGCGGUUAGUACUUGGAUGGGUGACCGCCUGGGAAUACCGUGUGCUGUAGGCA
RNAcentral lists this ribosomal RNA (114 nucleotides) under Nematostella vectensis (starlet sea anemone). Lineage: Eukaryota; Metazoa; Cnidaria; Anthozoa; Actiniaria; Edwardsiidae. The record is from RNAcentral.